GAUGAACGCUGGCGGCGUGCCUAAUACAUGCAAGUCGAGCGAACGGAUGAGAAGCUUGCUCCUCUGACGUUAGCGGCGGACGGGUGAGUAACACGUGGAUAACCUACCUAUAAGACUGGGAUAACUUCGGGAAACCGGAGCUAAUACCGGAUAAUAUUUUGAACCGCAUGGUUCUACAGUGAAAGACGGUCUUGCUGUCACUUAUAGAUGGACCCGCGCUGCAUUAGCUAGUUGGUAAGGUAACGGCUCACCAAGGCAACGAUGCAUAGCCGACCUGAGAGGGUGAUCGGCCACACUGGAACUGAGACACGGUCCAGACUCCUACGGGAGGCAGCAGUAGGGAAUCUUCCGCAAUGGGCGAAAGCCUGACGGAGCAACGCCGCGUGAGUGAUGAAGGUCUUCGGAUCGUAAAACUCUGUUAUUAGGGAAGAACAUAUGUGUAAGUAACUGUGCGCGUCUUGACGGUACCUAAUCAGAAAGCCACGGCUAACUACGUG
This 497-nucleotide ribosomal RNA is filed under the name uncultured bacterium. RNAcentral's name for it is "partial 16S ribosomal RNA". It matches the Rfam family "Bacterial small subunit ribosomal RNA", at positions 28 to 507 of the family's 1533-position model. The record is from RNAcentral.